CUCUGUGAUGAAAACCUUGAAUAGGAAGUGCCGUCUUAUGCGAUAACUGCCGAUGUUUUUUUUUUACCUUAGUUCGUCUGAGA
Small nucleolar RNA from Pygocentrus nattereri (red-bellied piranha), 83 nucleotides. Ensembl annotates it as Small nucleolar RNA SNORD49. Lineage: Eukaryota; Metazoa; Chordata; Actinopteri; Characiformes; Serrasalmidae. The record is from Ensembl.